This 269-nucleotide unclassified non-coding RNA is filed under the name Glomus sp. RNAcentral's name for it is "partial contains 5.8S ribosomal RNA and internal transcribed spacer 2". The record is from RNAcentral. Lineage: Eukaryota; Fungi; Glomeromycota; Glomeromycetes; Glomerales; Glomeraceae.
GUGAAUCAUCAAUUUUUGAACGCAAAUUGCACUCUCCUCGGAGAGUAUGCCGGAUUGAGGGUCAGCCUAUAAAAAAUCGACAUCGUUGCUGUUUCGCGGUGGCGUUCGGCGGAAAUUGAGUCAUCUUAAAUCUUUUGGUGUUAAGCGACUUAAAAUUUUCUUUUUGGUUCCAUGAACGUGUCUAAGAUUGAUUGCUGUACACGUUUAAGGUAUCGAUUUUUAUGAGACGUGACGAUCAUAUCGGAUGGCGCCCAUAAGCUUUCAGCAAC